This is a long non-coding RNA of Oncorhynchus keta (chum salmon), 336 nucleotides long. RefSeq lists it as uncharacterized. NCBI's taxonomy places the organism in Eukaryota, Metazoa, Chordata, Actinopteri, Salmoniformes, Salmonidae. The transcript is spliced from 4 exons. The record is from RefSeq and is a predicted model, not a curated record.
UAUCAGGUAUAUGCUGAAUAUCUUCCCUAGGACCCACAUAAUGUUAUCUGGUAUAUGCUGAAUAUCUUCCCUAGGACCCACAUAAUGUUAUCUGGUAUAUGCUGAAUAUCUUCCCUAGGACCCACAAUGUUAUCAGGUAUAUGCUGAAUGUUCCCCCUAGGACCCACAUAAUGUUAUCUGGUAUAUGCUGAAUAUCUUCCCUAGGACCCACAUAAUGUUAUCAGGUAUAUGCUGAAUGUUCCCCCCCUCUAGGACCUACAUAAUGUUAUCAGGUAUAUGCUGAAUGUUCCCCCCCCCUAGGACCCACAUAAUGUUAUCAGGUAUAUGCUGAAUGUU